Molecule: transfer-messenger RNA, 386 nt
Filed under: Synechococcales cyanobacterium T60_A2020_003
Lineage: Bacteria; Bacillati; Cyanobacteriota; Cyanophyceae; Synechococcales
Also listed under: 1 other name
Rfam family: transfer-messenger RNA
About the family: Bacterial tmRNA, also known as 10Sa RNA or SsrA, is named for its dual tRNA and mRNA-like properties.
Source: Rfam by way of RNAcentral
GGGGCUGUAAUGGUUUCGACGUGUUGGUGAAAACUAUCUUGUGAUGCAGGUCGAGAGGGAGUCAUCUCUCGUAAAUCAAGGCUCAAUCAAACGUAAGUGCGAACAACAUCGUACCUUUUGCUCGCAAAGCUGCACCUGUUGCUGCUUAAUAGGUAAAAAACCCGCGAGCGUCUGUAGUUCGACUCCGUUAAGGAUUACAGACCAACCCCAACGGAUGCUCUAACCCAUUGCCUCUAGUCGUUGGUUAGCUAAGACUUUACUAGAGAAUCCCAUCGUCAGGAAUAAUUGACGGCUCCCGCCUUGAGGACGAGAUAGGCUAAACCUGUGAAUGAAUGGGGUACGAAUAGCCAGGGCGGACACGGGUUCGAUUCCCGUCAGCUCCAUCA